GACGAACGCUGGCGGCGUGCCUAAUACAUGCAAGUAGAACGCACAGUUUAUACCGUAGCUUGCUACACCAUAGACUGUGAGUUGCGAACGGGUGAGUAACGCGUAGGUAACCUGCCUGGUAGCGGGGGAUAACUAUUGGAAACGAUAGCUAAUACCGCAUAAUAUUGAUUAUUGCAUGAUAAUUAAUUGAAAGGUGCAAUUGCACCACUACCAGAUGGACCUGCGUUGUAUUAGCUAGUAGGUGAGGUAACGGCUCACCUAGGCGACGAUACAUAGCCGACCUGAGAGGGUGAUCGGCCACACUGGGACUGAGACACGGCCCAGACUCCUACGGGAGGCAGCAGUAGGGAAUCUUCGACAAUGGACGAAAGUCUGACCGAGCAACGCCGCGUGAGUGAAGAAGGUUUUCGGAUCGUAAAGCUCUGUUGUAAGAGAAGAACGGGUGUGAGAGUGGAAAGUUCACACUGUGACGGUAUCUUACCAGAAAGGGACGGCUAACUACGUG
RNAcentral lists this ribosomal RNA (505 nucleotides) under uncultured bacterium. RNAcentral describes it as "partial 16S ribosomal RNA". It matches the Rfam family "Bacterial small subunit ribosomal RNA", at positions 28 to 507 of the family's 1533-position model. The record is from RNAcentral.